This 500-nucleotide ribosomal RNA is filed under the name uncultured Glomeromycotina. Its description in RNAcentral is "partial small subunit ribosomal RNA". It matches the Rfam family "Eukaryotic small subunit ribosomal RNA", at positions 591 to 1092 of the family's 1831-position model. Lineage: Eukaryota; Fungi; Glomeromycota. The record is from RNAcentral.
CCAAUAGCGUAUAUUAAAGUUGCUGCAGUUAAAAAGCUCGUAGUUGAAUUUCGGGAUCAAUUUACUGGUCGUGCCUACGGUACGUACUGGUAUUGUUGGUUCCUCCUUUCUGAGGAGCCGCGAUGUCAUUAACUUGGUGUCGCGGGGAGUCAGGACUGUUACUUUGAAAAAAUUAGAGUGUUUAAAGCAAGCUAACGCUUGAAUACAUUAGCAUGGAAUAAUGAAAUAGGACGUUUGAUCCUAUUUUGUUGGUUUCUAGGGUCGACGUAAUGAUUAAUAGGGAUAGUUGGGGGCAUUAGUAUUCAAUUGUCAGAGGUGAAAUUCUUGGAUUUAUUGAAGACUAACUACUGCGAAAGCAUUUGCCAAGGAUGUUUUCAUUAAUCAAGAACGAAAGUUAGGGGAUCGAAGACGAUCAGAUACCGUCGUAGUCUUAACCAUAAACUAUGCCGACUAGGGAUCGGAUGAUGUUAAUUUUUUAAUGACUCAUUCGGCGCCUUACG